UACAGAGGUCUCAAGCGUUGUUCGGAUUCAUUGGGCGUAAAGGGUGCGUAGGCGGCGCGGUAAGUCGGGUGUGAAAUCUUGGAGCUUAACUCCGAAACUGCAUUCGAUACUGCCGUGCUUGAGGACUGGAGAGGAGACUGGAAUUUACGGUGUAGCGGUGAAAUGCGUAGAUAUCGUAAGGAAGACCAGUGGCGAAGGCGGGUCUCUGGACAGUGACUGACGCUGAGACGCGAAAGCGUGGGGAUCAAACAGG
RNAcentral lists this ribosomal RNA (253 nucleotides) under uncultured bacterium. RNAcentral's name for it is "partial 16S ribosomal RNA". It matches the Rfam family "Bacterial small subunit ribosomal RNA", at positions 524 to 776 of the family's 1533-position model. The record is from RNAcentral.